AGGAAGAGAAAGAAAAUUCGAUUCCCUUAGUAGCGGCGAGCGAAAUGGGAAGAGCCCAAACCAACAAGCUUGCUUGUUGGGGUUGUAGGACACUCUAUACGGAGUUACAAAGGACGACAUUAGACGAAUCAUCUGGAAAGAUGAAUCAAAGAAGGUAAUAAUCCUGUAGUCGAAAAUGUUGUCUCUCUUGAGUGGAUCCUGAGUACGACGGAGCACGUGAAAUUCCGUCGGAAUCUGGGAGGACCAUCUCCUAAGGCUAAAUACUCUCUAGUGACCGAUAGUGAACCAGUACCGUGAGGGAAAGGUGAAAAGCACCCCGGAAGGGGAGUGAAAUAGAACCUGAAACCGUGUGCUUACAAGUAGUCAGAGCCCGUUAAUGGGUGAUGGCGUGCCUUUUGUAGAAUGAACCGGCGAGUUACGAUUUGAUGCAAGGUUAAGCAGUAAAUGUGGAGCCGUAGCGAAAGCGAGUCUGAAUAGGGCGUUUAGUAUUUGGUCGUAGACCCGAAACCAGGUGAUCUACCCUUGGUCAGGUUGAAGUUCAGGUAACACUGAAUGGAGGACCGAACCGACUUACGUUGAAAAGUGAGCGGAUGAACUGAGGGUAGCGGAGAAAUUCCAAUCGAACCUGGAGAUAGCUGGUUCUCUCCGAAAUAGCUUUAGGGCUAGCCUCAAGUGAUGAUUAUUGGAGGUAGAGCACUGUUUGGACGAGGGGCCCCUCUCGGGUUACCGAAUUCAGACAAACUCCGAAUGCCAAUUAAUUUAACUUGGGAGUCAGAACAUGGGUGAUAAGGUCCGUGUUCGAAAGGGAAACAGCCCAGACCACCAGCUAAGGUCCCAAAAUAUAUGUUAAGUGGAAAAGGAUGUGGCGUUGCCCAGACAACUAGGAUGUUGGCUUAGAAGCAGCCAUCAUUUAAAGAGUGCGUAAUAGCUCACUAGUCGAGUGACACUGCGCCGAAAAUGUACCGGGGCUAAACAUAUUACCGAAGCUGUGGAUUGUCCUUUGGACAAUGGUAGGAGAGCGUUCUAAGGGCGUUGAAGCAUGAUCGUAAGGACAUGUGGAGCGCUUAGAAGUGAGAAUGCCGGUGUGAGUAGCGAAAGACGGGUGAGAAUCCCGUCCACCGAUUGACUAAGGUUUCCAGAGGAAGGCUCGUCCGCUCUGGGUUAGUCGGGUCCUAAGCUGAGGCCGACAGGCGUAGGCGAUGGAUAACAGGUUGAUAUUCCUGUACCACCUAUAAUCGUUUUAAUCGAUGGGGGGACGCAGUAGGAUAGGCGAAGCGUGCGAUUGGAUUGCACGUCUAAGCAGUAAGGCUGAGUAUUAGGCAAAUCCGGUACUCGUUAAGGCUGAGCUGUGAUGGGGAGAAGACAUUGUGUCUUCGAGUCGUUGAUUUCACACUGCCGAGAAAAGCCUCUAGAUAGAAAAUAGGUGCCCGUACCGCAAACCGACACAGGUAGUCAAGAUGAGAAUUCUAAGGUGAGCGAGCGAACUCUCGUUAAGGAACUCGGCAAAAUGACCCCGUAACUUCGGGAGAAGGGGUGCUCUUUAGGGUUAACGCCCAGAAGAGCCGCAGUGAAUAGGCCCAAGCGACUGUUUAUCAAAAACACAGGUCUCUGCUAAACCGUAAGGUGAUGUAUAGGGGCUGACGCCUGCCCGGUGCUGGAAGGUUAAGAGGAGUGGUUAGCUUCUGCGAAGCUACGAAUCGAAGCCCCAGUAAACGGCGGCCGUAACUAUAACGGUCCUAAGGUAGCGAAAUUCCUUGUCGGGUAAGUUCCGACCCGCACGAAAGGCGUAACGAUUUGGGCACUGUCUCAACGAGAGACUCGGUGAAAUCAUAGUACCUGUGAAGAUGCAGGUUACCCGCGACAGGACGGAAAGACCCCGUGGAGCUUUACUGUAGCCUGAUAUUGAAAUUCGGCACAGCUUGUACAGGAUAGGUAGGAGCCUUUGAAACGUGAGCGCUAGCUUACGUGGAGGCGCUGGUGGGAUACUACCCUAGCUGUGUUGGCUUUCUAACCCGCACCACUUAUCGUGGUGGGAGACAGUGUCAGGCGGGCAGUUUGACUGGGGCGGUCGCCUCCUAAAAGGUAACGGAGGCGCUCAAAGGUUCCCUCAGAAUGGUUGGAAAUCAUUCAUAGAGUGUAAAGGCAUAAGGGAGCUUGACUGCGAGACCUACAAGUCGAGCAGGGUCGAAAGACGGACUUAGUGAUCCGGUGGUUCCGCAUGGAAGGGCCAUCGCUCAACGGAUAAAAGCUACCCCGGGGAUAACAGGCUUAUCUCCCCCAAGAGUUCACAUCGACGGGGAGGUUUGGCACCUCGAUGUCGGCUCAUCGCAUCCUGGGGCUGUAGUCGGUCCCAAGGGUUGGGCUGUUCGCCCAUUAAAGCGGUACGCGAGCUGGGUUCAGAACGUCGUGAGACAGUUCGGUCCCUAUCCGUCGUGGGCGUAGGAAAUUUGAGAGGAGCUGUCCUUAGUACGAGAGGACCGGGAUGGACAUACCUCUGGUGUACCAGUUGUCGUGCCAACGGCAUAGCUGGGUAGCUAUGUGUGGACGGGAUAAGUGCUGAAAGCAUCUAAGCAUGAAGCCCCCCUCAAGAUGAGAUUUCCCAACUUCGGUUAUAAGAUCCCUCAAAGAUGAUGAGGUUAAUAGGUUCGAGGUGGAAGCAUGGUGACAUGUGGAGCUGACGAAUACUAAUCGAUCGAAGACUUAAUCAA
Molecule: ribosomal RNA, 2708 nt
Filed under: Staphylococcus aureus M79686
Lineage: Bacteria; Bacillati; Bacillota; Bacilli; Caryophanales; Staphylococcaceae
Description: bacterial LSU rRNA
Rfam family: Bacterial large subunit ribosomal RNA
Source: RNAcentral